GGCUCCGUAGCUCAACGGAUAGAGCAACCCUCUCCUAAAGGGUAGAUGUCAGUUCGAUUCUGGCUGGGGCCGCCA
RNAcentral lists this transfer RNA (75 nucleotides) under Paenibacillus sabuli. RNAcentral describes it as "Paenibacillus sp. IB182496 tRNA-Arg". It matches the Rfam family "tRNA". From Rfam's summary of the family: Transfer RNA (tRNA) molecules are approximately 80 nucleotides in length. Their secondary structure includes four short double-helical elements and three loops (D, anti-codon, and T loops). Lineage: Bacteria; Bacillati; Bacillota; Bacilli; Caryophanales; Paenibacillaceae. The record is from RNAcentral.